UACGGAGGAGGCAAGCGUUAUCCGGAAUGAUUGGGCGUAAAGCGUCCGCAGGUGGCUUAGUCAAGUCUGCUGUCAAAGCCAGUGGCUUAACCACUGAAAGGCAGUGGAAACUGACAGGCUAGAGUGCGGUAGGGGUAGAGGGAAUUCCCAGUGUAGCGGUGAAAUGCGUAGAGAUUGGGAAGAACACCGGUGGCGAAAGCGCUCUACUGGGCCUGCACUGACACUGAGGGACGAAAGCUAGGGGAGCGAAUGGG
Molecule: ribosomal RNA, 254 nt
Filed under: uncultured prokaryote
Description: partial 16S ribosomal RNA
Rfam family: Bacterial small subunit ribosomal RNA
Source: RNAcentral